This 401-nucleotide ribosomal RNA is filed under the name uncultured microorganism. RNAcentral's name for it is "bacterial SSU rRNA". It matches the Rfam family "Archaeal small subunit ribosomal RNA", at positions 330 to 735 of the family's 1478-position model. The record is from RNAcentral.
GUGCAGCAGUCGAGAAUACUUUACAAUGUGCGAAAGCACGAUAAGGGAACUCUGAGUGCCUCCUAAGGAGGCUGUUCAGGUGUCUAAAAAGCACCUGGAGUAAGGGCUGGGUAAGACCGGUGCCAGCCGCCGCGGUAACACCGGCAGCCCAGGUGGUAGCCACUUUUAUUGGGUCUAAAGCGUCCGUAGCCGGUUGAGUAAGUUCCUUGGGAAAUUUGGCUGCUCAACAGUCAAGCUUCCAGGGAAUACUGCUCGACUUGGGGACUGGGAGAGGUCAGAGGUACUCCAGGGGUAGGGGUGAAAUCCAUUAAUCCCUGGGGGACCACCGGUAGCGAAGGCGUCUGACCAGACCAGGUCCGACGGUGAGGGACGAAGGCUAGGGUCGCGAACCGGAUUAGAUA